GGGGAGGCGGAUCUGAGGGGGAAGAAGGUGUUCGUGCGGGCCGACCUCAACGUGCCGCUCGACGACGCCCAGAAGAUCACCGACGACACCCGCAUCCGCGCGUCCGUGCCCACUGUCAAGUUCCUCCUCGAGAAGGGCGCCAAGGUCAUCCUCGCCAGCCAUCUGGGCCGUCCGAAGGGUGUCACCCCCAAGUACAGCUUGAAGCCUCUUGUUCCACGCUUGUCUGAGCUACUUGGAGUCGAUGUUGUGAUGGCCAAUGAUUGCAUUGGUG
RNAcentral lists this unclassified non-coding RNA (271 nucleotides) under Hevea brasiliensis (rubber tree). Lineage: Eukaryota; Viridiplantae; Streptophyta; Magnoliopsida; Malpighiales; Euphorbiaceae. The record is from RNAcentral.